Molecule: ribosomal RNA, 301 nt
Filed under: uncultured bacterium
Lineage: Bacteria
Description: partial 16S ribosomal RNA
Rfam family: Bacterial small subunit ribosomal RNA
Source: RNAcentral
CAGCAGCCACGGGAAUACGUAGGGUGCAAGCGUUAACCGGAAUUACUGGGCGUAAAGCGUGCGCAGGCGGUUUCGUAAGACAGAUGUGAAAUCCCCGGGCUCAACCUGGGAACUGCAUUUGAGACUGUAUGGCUAGAGUGUGUCAGAGGGGGGUAGAAUUCCACGUGUAGCAGUGAAAUGCGUAGAUAUGUGGAGGAAUACCGAUGGCGAAGGCAGCCCCCUGGGAUAACACUGACGCUCAUGCACGAAAGCGUGGGGAGCAAACAGGAUUAGAUACCCGCGUAGUCCCUGUCUCUUAUAC